GGCAUUUUGCUGGUUUUGGCGGUCGAGAAAGA
This 32-nucleotide non-coding RNA is filed under the name Geobacter sulfurreducens KN400. The record is from RNAcentral. Lineage: Bacteria; Pseudomonadati; Thermodesulfobacteriota; Desulfuromonadia; Geobacterales; Geobacteraceae.